This is a long non-coding RNA of Leucoraja erinaceus (little skate), 5998 nucleotides long. RefSeq lists it as uncharacterized. The record is from RefSeq and is a predicted model, not a curated record. Lineage: Eukaryota; Metazoa; Chordata; Chondrichthyes; Rajiformes; Rajidae. The transcript is spliced from 3 exons.
CUCGGCACUCAUGACAAUUAUAAAUCUAAACAUUAAACCUAUACCUUCAGCCUCUGACUCCAGAUUUCCAAGACACUUUGCAUUGCUUUGGAUGUAAUAGAAAUGUUUUGGGUAAAUAUCAAGACAAUGCAUUAACAUUGUUCAGAACCGAUGAUGUCUGAGCCGCAGAUAUUGCAUAAUAUCCUAUCAGUAUAAACAUUUAUAACCGCCAGAUGCUGGACUCUGAGCCCCGUUCAGAUACAAAUAACAUCUGGUCUGCUUUCGUAUGGAGCUUCAGCACAAUAUACCCUUGAGAACAAAAUAGACACAAUGUUGAAAAGUAGAACUGCAAACCAAGGGGCUAUUAAAGGAUUUAUUGCACUUUGGGUGUGGUGUCAUAAAUCUGACAAAGUGGAGCAAUGGCUGCCAAAUGUGAAUUUCAACAGCAUGUUGUUUUUAAAGGUUAUAACCCAAAUGAUGUACAUUCGAGUAUUCUUUACAUAAUUAAUCCAGUGUGAAAGUAAGGGGAGAGCUGGAGAAUUUCCAGUUUGGUUUAAAAAUAACUUGGCCGUGGUGAUGAAAGUUUUUUUAGCAUUAAAGCACAGGAAUAUGAGAUUAAUGCUCUUUGUUUUGUUUUUGAAGCUAGCCAAAAGUAUUUAUUUUGAAUUUUCAAAGUUGCUUUGAAAUAAAUAAGUACACACUGAGCAGAGAAUGAAUGGCAAAUUAUUUCAAAAAUCAUUAAGCCAGCUGAAGGCACAAACAGUCAAGGACCACAGUUUUGAAGCACUCGCGCUGCGGAGUCACUAUUACAAACAUGUUAUAAAACAGCUCCAUAUGUUGGCAUAUAUACUUGAAACAGCUUUAAGAAUCCACAUCAUAUCAGAUUGUGCACAUGCAAUCAGUUUUAUUUUGCCGAAUGCAACGUGUUAGCCACAUGUUUCUGGAUUUGUUUCAUCGGCAUUUCAUUCCACAUUCGACUUGUCUAUAGCUUGGUCAUAAACUGGACACUAAUCUCAAUGCUGGAGCACUACCUCCAGUGAAGCAAGGGGAGGUGAUAGCAACUGAGAUUUAGCAUCUCAUGUAUCACUGACCAACUUUGGAAAUGUGCCUAAAUGGUUUCUCAAUUCAACUAGUUUACGCACUACUGAAGGAAUAGAGGAAAUGUGAAAGGAAUAGAAGAAAGUGCAAGGAUGAUGAAGUAAGGUUUUCGGAUCACAUAGAGAUGACUUGCGCCUCUCAGACAAAUCCAAGAUUAGCAGCACUCACGAGAACCGCUUGACUGGUAUUUAAUGAAGGUUUCCUCAGCGACUCACUGCUCAUGGAGUCCUAUGCUAUGAUCACAGCUCCGGUGAGUUUCUUUUUACUGAAACAAGGUAGAAAUACCCACCUUGUGUUAGUUCAUGACACUUUCCCAGCAUCUAACCAACCACCAAUCUGCCAACCCACAGUUUACAGUUUAAUUUAUUGCCACGUGUACCAAGGUAUAGUGAAAUGCUUUUGUUGUGUGCUAUCUAGUCAGGAGAAAGAGAAUGCAUGAUUACAAUCAAGCUAUUUACAGAGUAUAUAUGCAUGAUAAUGGAAUAACCGUUUAGUGCACGAUAAAGCCAACAUAGUCCGAUCAAGGAUGGUCCAAGGGUCACCAAAUAGGUAGAUACUCAUAAUUCUCUUCACUCGCUAAUUCGCUUAUAAGGUCACCGCCUUACCACAAUUAUGCCUGGCCACCCACCACACAAAUAUCAAACAUACGUUAUCUGAUUUCCAUCCUACCAAUUGAUCCGUUCUUACUACGUCAAACCUCCCAGUGACUCCUCAACCUCAAUUGAUUCUGGAUAAAUGUCUACACCCACUACAUCAAUGAAGAUCUCUCUCAUCUGAUCCCAGUAAUCUGCUCCUAUUCCAAUCUCCCACUAACAAAUAAGAAUCCUCUGUCUCUCUAAAUCCCCUCAACAUACACCAGUUGUACACCAGAGGGUGGCACAGUGGUGCUGCGGUAGAGCUGCCGCCUUACAGCGCCAGAGAUCCUGGUUCGAUUCUGACUACGGGUGCUGUCUGUGUGGAGUUUGCACUUUCUCCAUGUGACUCCAUGGAUUUCCCUUGGGUGCUCUGGUUUCCUCCCAGUCUCCAAAGACAUGCAGGAUUGUAGGUUAAUUGGCUUUGGUAAAGUUGUAAAUUGUCCCUAGUGUGUAGGAUAGUGUUCGUGUACAGGGCGGUUGCUGGUUGGUGUGGACUCGGUGGGCCAAAGGGCUUGUUUUUGCACUUUAGAGUCUAAAGUAAAGCCUAAAGUCGGUUUAAUGGUUUUCUUUCUAUUCUCCACAAUGGUGAGGUGUUUUAAGGAAUGGCCUUCAAAAAUGCAAGGCCUUUCCAGUUGUACAUGGUAUCAUGGACCUCCUAUUGAUGGAGGAAGUCAAUGGAUAUUUUUAAGGUGCAGAUUGACAGAUUCUUGAUUAGUAUGGGUGUCAGGGGUUAUGGGGAAAAGGCAGGAGAAUGGGGUUGCGAGGGAAAGAAAGAUCAGCCAUGAUUGAAUGGAGGAGCAGACUUGAUGGGCUGAAUGGCCGAAUUCUACUCCGAGCACUUAUGGAACCUAUGGUGUGUUCUUGAUCAAGGCAUUCACUAACUAGUUGCCUAGCAUAUCUAAAAAGUGUCUUUCAAUUUUUAGGCAAAUAUAUUUUAAAUCUUUUCAGGAGAGCUUUUGAAUACUUACUUUGAUAGGGAAAUGUUGAUCCCAAAUGUUUUAACUGUGGGAGGACUGGGUAUGUCACAGACAAAGGCAGCAUUUUAAUUUCUUGGGUUAUGAAACAGAAAAGCUUUCGAGUCAAUUAUUAUUUCAUAAAUAAAAUAACCAUUACCCUCUAAGUUCACGGUGGCUCAGCUGAAUGUGGGGAAAUAGCAUAUAAAAAAUUCUUUAAUAACACUUUAACAAGCAAAUCCAAGCAUUUAUGUUCCUGUAAUUUAGCUUUCAGGAAUUUAACCUACCUUACUAAAUCUUGUAUGAGAAUAAUUUGUGGCCUAGGGUUGCCUUAUUGACAGUCAGUGUAAAGCACUGACAUCCCUGAACUGUUUAAUUAUUGAAAUGAACUGUAACAGUACACUUGAUUGUUGCUGAGGUCACUUAAUAGCAGUGGAAGUAGAGAGGCAUGCGGCCACUCUACUCCAAUGCACUGCUUCAGGCAUUGUCUCAAACCCACACACUUUUUCUCAGCCGAUCGCACAGACUGCUGCAGAUAGGUAGCCUGAUAUGGGCACCAAUUUACUGUAGUUUGAGGUCUGAUGGUGCUGUCUCGUUUUAAGCUCAGCCAAGAUUGCUCUGGUGACCACUGUGACUCUCUGAUUCCCAUGCCCCUUUGCAUUCCAUUCUAAGAUCCCAAGCAGUCUCUCUCUUCCCUCCCCCCUUGCGUCCUGUCCAGGAUGCAGACAAAUGAAUUUCAGUGACCUAUGUGGAGGCGUAGCUUUGGAAUAAAGAUCUCUCCUGUCCCCACUCUUUCAUUAGCUUCUUCCCUGGAGCCAUUUGCACGAAGUAAAACAUACAGUAGACGCUAAGACUAAUUAUCAAAUUACACUCCGCAAGAGCACUUCAACUGGUAUUUUCAACCUCUUAGAACCUGGUAUUUUCUGUCAUUAUAUAAUUCUAAAUUCUGAUUCUGAACGGUUUUACUGUAUUCCCAAUUGAAAAAAAAAAGGCUCUAAAGUUUCAUUCUUUAAAUAGAAAGUUGACCUUCGGCCUUUCCAAAGUCUGUUGUUACUUUUUUUUCAUUGUUUUUUUGGCUCAGAACAGAGACCCGUACACUAAAGCCUGUGGAUUACAGGAAAUAAUGACCUAUAUGUGCUCAGUUGUUCAAAGGAAAUUAGUCCGGGCUGAUUUUUAUUAUUCUCCAUAGCCUCACAUUCUCCAGUGUAAUCACUCAUGCCGUGGUAUAAUUUACUUUUACAUCAUAGGAAAUGUGUAACUUUCUGUCUAUAUUCUCCCAUGACCAAUCGUGUCCUGUUCCUUGCCUAAACUAACCCUGAUGUGGAAUGUUAGCCUUGCUCGUACAAGACAGUCCAGAAUCAGAGCAACAAAUCUGUUUGCAAAUGUUGGCAAUUGUUUUCCCCAGGUAAUCUUUAUUGACAAUUAAGCCAUAAUCAUCUGUGAGUCACUGCAAAGAUGAUUAACCCUUUCACCACCUUUCACUAUCGAGCAUGUUGCAAUUUUUAACAUGCAAAGUGCUUUCAAGGACUGCCCUAUAUGUAGAACAGCAAAAUAUUUGACAUACUGUAUAUCCUGAUAAUUACACAAUAUGCUUUUGCAGUGAAUCAAGCUUCAUUAUUGUGGUGUGUCAAAUGAUUUGAUUUGGUUAUGGAGACGUGUAAUAUUAAAAUACGAUUCCAGUCCAUUUGUUUUAUUGUAUAAGAAAAUGUAGACGCUGGUCUGAAACAUCGCCUAGCCAUGUUCUCCAUAGAGCGGCACAGCGGCACAGCAAUAGAGUUGCUACCUUACAGUGCUGGAGACCCGGGUUUGAUCCCGACUAUGGGUGUUUUCUGUUCGGAGUUUGUACGUUCUCUCGUGACCAUGUGGGUUUUUCCCGAGAUCUUUAGUUUCCUCCGACACUCCAAAGAUGUACAUGUAUGUAGGUUGGUGUAUGUUGACUUGGUGUAUGUGUAAAUUGUCCCUAGUGUGUAUAGGAUAGUGUUAAUGUGCGAGGAUCGCUGGUCGGUGGGACUCAGUGGGCCGAAGGGCCUGUUUCCAUGUUGGAUCUCCAAAAAAAAGAUGCUGUCUGACCUGCUGAGUCACUCCAACAAUUUGUAUUUCAUUUGCCUUAUAGGUUUAUCAGACAUCACUUAUUUGGUGUUAUUUUAUCUACAAUAGUAUGUUACUUUUGUGUUAAAGUCAAAUUAGCUGCGAUUAUGGCUAGUUCAAAUAUUUUAUACAAAUAUAGUACUACGGCUUUAACAACAUUUGUAUUUAUUUUGUGGUCAGUGAAUUGAAUACUCACAUCUUAACAUGAACCUUGACUUAAGGCCCUGUCCCACCGUACGAUUCAUUCUCCCAAGUUUGCCCUGAUUCGAACUCGGAGAUUUACGGUAAUGGCCACUCGUAGGUGCUCGGGGCUCUCGUGGACAUUUUUCAACAUGUUGAAAAAUCUUCACGAGUCUUCCCGGGCUUACUGCGUUUCACGAUUACCUGCCGUUAGCAUUACGCGCCACUACGAGACAUCCCCGAGCUCCGACGUACCCGCUACGUACAUUCUACGUGGUUCCACGAGUUUGAUUUUUUUUUUUAACUCGGGAGAGCUCUUGAUUGAACUCGUACAGUGGGACAGGGCUUUUACAGAUGUCCUCUGUGUCACUGUAACAACAGAGAAAUAGGACUUUAUACCAGAGAGUGUUAAAUCGUAUCAUAAAUCCUUGGGAAAUGCUCCUUUCACAAUAAAAAUAUCAGGCCCAUGUUAUGAAAUCCAGAUUGUAUACAGGUUUUGCAAAAAAAGAACAAGUAAGUUUACCUUACAGUGCCUAAGACCUGGGUUUGAACUAAACCUGUGGUGCUGUCUAGUUAGUAUGUCUCCUUGCGCUCACUGGGUUUUCUCUGGGUACUCCUGUUUUCUCUCACAUCCCAACGAUAUGUAGAUACAGGGUAUUUUAGGUUUAUUGGCUUCUGUAAAUUGCCCCUAGUGUGUCGGAAGUGGAUGCAAAAGUAAGAUAACAUGGAACUAAUGUGAACGGGAGAUCAAUGGUCGGCGUGGAUUCGGUGAGCUGAAGGGCCUCAGUUUCCAUGCUGUAUCUCCGAACUAAGCUAAACUAAACUCUUCAUAUCACAAGAGUGCCAAACAAUAACCAUAUCCAACAAGAGAGUAUCUUACCAACUACCCACUCCCAACCUGCCACCACUAAAUUGCCAAAGGCAUUACUAUCACAAAAUCUCCCAACUCCAUGAAGACUGCCACUUAAACUGACCUGUCACAUAAACAUAAAAGCAUAUAGCAUUGGAAUUGCCCAUUGGUCCAAAACACCGAUGCUGACCUUUUUGCCCUUCUUACACUAAUCC